GAGAAACAAUCACCUGUGUCACGUGUGCUGGAACAGAGACACACCUAAAAUAAGAAGGAGUCUAUUUAGAGCAGCAAGAAACCAACAGAAAUGUCUGGAGUUUGAUUCAAGUUAGCCAUUAGCACAGAGGAGCUCCCAUCGCCAGCUAACCUGGACCGCUCUGUGGCAGCUCAAACAACCAGAGAAAAUGGCAGGAACACCAGGAGAGGUCAAAUCAAUACUUCCAGUACAUUGGAGGAGAACAAAAGCAGUGGUCAGCCUGGCAUCAUGAUGAGCUCAGCCUGGAUGAUAAUGGCGGAUGACUGCAGCUGAAAAAUAGGAAGAGUUCAGUCUGUUGGGACUUGAGAGUGGAGAGCUCAGUGUAAGACUUAGUCUACAGCUAGAUAUUGGCACAGCACCAAUCCCCUUACACAGUGUUUUUCCUUAAACACAACAGACCUGGUAUAUUCAUUCUCCUGCUGCUGGUUAAGAAGUAAUUGGACUUGAAUCUACCACAGCGUUUCUCUGCAUGGAGUUUGCGUGUUCUCAGCAUCCAUUGAUUGUAAAUGGGUAAUCCGGCAACUUCCCUAAGGUAUGAGUGUGUGCUGUUUAUUAUGCAAGUCCCUGUGUGUCCUUCCCAUUUCAUACGUCUGAAUAUUGACAUGAACCACUCUGACUGUGCAUAAGAACAAGGAUUAGAUGGAUGGGUCACUCUUCAUCUGUUGUGUGUUUGGCGCCAACUUUUUAACCAAAGUGAUAUUGUAGGAUAAUUUGCUGUUUUUAUGCUCAUCCAUUAUGUCACUGGAAAGUCUCAACACAACUCUGACCCUCAGAACGCUUGCCGCUGAAUGUUCCCCAUUUAUAACUCAAAGUUUACUAAAGCUUAUGAUUUGUUAGGUGCUAGCCAAUGCUUUAAAGAGUAGUUACAGAGAAUACUACCCAUUCACCAGGAGGCAAUGCAAACUCUACAAUAAUGGGCUUUGACCAGGACACUGAACCUAUUUGCUGCAAGGCAACAGUGCUAAGUGCUCCACCAUGCAACACCAAACAAAAGUUUUUAUGUUUAAUCUGUGAAAAGUAAUCGACCCUAACCCUUUCUGCUGUACAGAGUAUGCCAUUUUAGAAAUUUACAGCUAAUUUCUAAUUUUAGAUAAAGCAACAUUCAGUUAAUACUUCUUCAGGGCUAAAUCAGCUAUCUAAAAUAGUUUUGAUCUCUAUAGUACAGCCUGUUGGCUAGUGGUCACAGGAAAAUGUUAAAUCAACGAAAGACAUUUAUAGAGCUACACUCUCAGUAAUUGCCAUCCUCAUGGUGUGAUGGCGACAUUAUUAGAAUCCCACUUUUCUUUUUAAUCACAGGAGGUUUAACCUUCUCUCCCUCUUGCCUUGCCACUCUGGAGUUCAGACCGGCCAUCACAGAGACACACACACUGUGCAGACUGUUGGAGGAGAUUGUUUAAAAGUAAGAGGAACUACCUUGUAUUUCAAUUUUCUUAAUUCCCAGAAAUUUGCAGAAAAAACAUUGACUUUUUUUGAGUCUUCAAGGCACAAGUCUAUGCAGUUUCUCUGUGAAAAUUCACUCCUCACACUGGCAGCAUGAUCACAUCAACUAUGACAUUUCCAGAAGAUGUUUGUACCCCUCAGUAAAAGUGCACAAACCGUA
Non-coding RNA from Poecilia reticulata (guppy), 1639 nucleotides. The record is from RefSeq and is a predicted model, not a curated record. Lineage: Eukaryota; Metazoa; Chordata; Actinopteri; Cyprinodontiformes; Poeciliidae.